CCAUGCAAGUCGAGCGGUAACAGAGAGAAGCUUGCUUCUCUGCUGACGAGCGGCGGACGGGUGAGUAAUGCCUAGGAAUCUGCCUGGUAGUGGGGGAUAACGUUCGGAAACGGACGCUAAUACCGCAUACGUCCUACGGGAGAAAGCAGGGGACCUUCGGGCCUUGCGCUAUCAGAUGAGCCUAGGUCGGAUUAGCUAGUUGGUGAGGUAAUGGCUCACCAAGGCGACGACCCGUAACUGGUCUGAGAGGAUGAUCAGUCACACUGGAACUGAGACACGGUCCAGACUCCUACGGGAGGCAGCAGUGGGGAAUAUUGGACAAUGGGCGAAAGCCUGAUCCAGCCAUGCCGCGUGUGUGAAGAAGGUCUUCGGAUUGUAAAGCACUUUAAGUUGGGAGGAAGGGCAGUUACCUAAUACGUGAUUGUUUUGACGUUACCGACAGAAUAAGCACCGGCUAACUCUGUGCCAGCAGCCGCGGUAAUACAGAGGGUGCAAGCGUUAAUCGGAAUUACUGGGCGUAAAGCGCGCGUAGGUGGUUAGUUAAGUUGGAUGUGAAAUCCCCGGGCUCAACCUGGGAACUGCAUUCAAAACUGACUGACUAGAGUAUGGUAGAGGGUGGUGGAAUUUCCUGUGUAGCGGUGAAAUGCGUAGAUAUAGGAAGGAACACCAGUGGCGAAGGCGACCACCUGGACUGAUACUGACACUGAGGUGCGAAAGCGUGCGGAGCAAACAGGAUUAGAUACCCUGGUAGUCCACGCCGUAAACGAUGUCAACUAGCCG
RNAcentral lists this ribosomal RNA (780 nucleotides) under uncultured bacterium. RNAcentral describes it as "bacterial SSU rRNA". It matches the Rfam family "Bacterial small subunit ribosomal RNA", at positions 53 to 822 of the family's 1533-position model. The record is from RNAcentral.